AGAACGAACGCUGGCGGCAUGCCUAAUACAUGCAAGUCGAACGAACUCUUCGGAGUUAGUGGCGCACGGGUGCGUAACGCGUGGGAAUCUGCCCCUUGGUUCGGAAUAACAGUUGGAAACGACUGCUAAUACCGGAUGAUGACGAAAGUCCAAAGAUUUAUCGCCAAGGGAUGAGCCCGCGUAGGAUUAGCUAGUUGGUGAGGUAAAGGCUCACCAAGGCAACGAUCCUUAGCUGGUCUGAGAGGAUGAUCAGCCACACUGGGACUGAGACACGGCCCAGACUCCUAGGGAGGCAGCAGUAGGGAAUA
RNAcentral lists this ribosomal RNA (308 nucleotides) under uncultured soil bacterium. Its description in RNAcentral is "bacterial SSU rRNA". It matches the Rfam family "Bacterial small subunit ribosomal RNA", at positions 26 to 363 of the family's 1533-position model. The record is from RNAcentral.